Acinonyx jubatus (cheetah) is the source of this 2846-nucleotide RNA transcript. RefSeq lists it as uncharacterized. The record is from RefSeq and is a predicted model, not a curated record. The transcript has 4 exons. Lineage: Eukaryota; Metazoa; Chordata; Mammalia; Carnivora; Felidae.
AGGCCGCCACAAUAAGGUACCACUGACCGCAGCUUAAAGGGCAGAAAUUAAUUGUGUCUCUAUCCUGGAGGCGGGAUUCUGGAGGCUGACACACCAGGGCUCUCCUAAUAAGGACACUAGUCACACGGGGCCAGGACCGGAGAAGGGGCCAGCAGGAGCCCGCGGGCUGGCACGGCGGGGUUGGCCGGUGGCCUCCAGCAGGGCCCCAAAGGAGACGUCCCGGGAGUCCCCGUGGAAGGGCCGGCCUCCUCGGGAAGAGCCUCGUGCUCCCAGACACCCCCGGCCGCUCUGCCUGCCGUCCCAGCGAGGCGGCCUCCAAAGGACGCGGUGACGCCCUCGGCACUCAGGAGAGGAGGAGGACGCUCCAGGACAGCCGUGCGCUCAGUCCCCCGGUUACAUCGGAGCCUGCCGGGAGGCAGAUGAGGGCCGGGCACUCAGGGGGCUCCCGGUGUCCUCUGCCGCCCGGAGAGGGCAGAUGAACAGUUGCGUCCCUGGCUCCGACGGGGAAAGGGCGAGCAGCCGAGGGACUGGGACGGAGACCCGGCUCUGCAGACACGUGAGCCGGCCACGCAUCCAACGGGAGCCAGUGCGGACAAGGGCACCUCCCGGGGGCCAUGCACGGUCCCGGCCAGGUUCACGGUUGAACAAAACAGAGAGCUCUGCCCUGGAGGAGCUCACUGGGCUCCCGGGGAGCCAGAGACCUCGGGGCGUGUCGCCGGCCCAGGCCAACGGUCCUUCCCUGGGAGCCGCCUGCCUGGGGUUACGUGGCGGCCGCUGCAGGAAGCCGAAGUGUGGGCAGCCAGGUGGCCGUCCCGCAGGGGAGGCCGGCCUCCACCCCCGGGUGCCUGGGGCCCCACACAGACCCACGGUCCCCUCCCGCGGCUUACACCUCGCGUGGCAGACAGCACACUUCGCGCCCGUCACGUGGCCGUGUCUGGGGGUCCUCACAUUGCUUUCUGGGAAGAUCAGACAGACACAGACGGCCCUUGAAGGCCGGCAGAUCCUUGAGCGACAAGCUGGGACGUGAUCUUAGGGAUGCCGGUCGGUCUGAGUGGUGUCCCCGGGAGGCCGCGAGCCUCAGCGUGCCCCCGGGGCCUCGAGGCCGCGUCUCUGUCCACCUCUGCCGAGCGAUCUCUGCCGAGCGACCUCUGGGUUUGUGACCAGAGGCCCCGUUUGCCUUGCACACACAUGGGCUCUGGUGCAGUGAGUCAGGAGCCAGGGAGGUGGGGUGCCUCUGACACCAGCGGGGCCACACCAGCCCCUCUGUGGGGACAGCCCUCACCCCACUGUAAGCAACCCUGAGCAGAAGCCCAGUGCUGGCUCCCAGAAAGGAGCGGGUGGGGAGGGAGCCUCAGGGGCAGAACUGUCCCAUGUCCCACGGCCUUGGGGCCCCGGGCAGAGGCCCGCAUGCCCCCCCAUUUCUGAUCCCAGACCCACAGCGUCUUUUCCCUGGUUCUCCAUGGCUUUCCUGGGUGUGGGAGUCCCGGGACGGAGGGGGUUGGAUGGGGGGGACCCUCAGAGUGCCUCCUCCCCCCGCGCCAGCAGCAGGGGGCGCUCGAGCUCAAGAAAGUGCCCACGAGGCCUGAACAAGCGUCUUUCCUAGAUAAAGCUAAGGAGGCCCAGCCCUGUGCCCCUCUGUUCGCUGGCGGUGGUGAGUUUGCUGGGGUGCCUGACCGCCCGACUGCUCCGGGUCGAUGGGGACGCUUCAGGCCCAGGCUUGUGGGGGUACGUGGUCACAUCAGUGCCCAGUGAUUACCCACGGGACCCAGGCCUCUUCCGGACGGGCAGGUCCACGAUCAUUGCUGUGGCAUGUCCUCUGUGCCCCGAAAACGGUAGCCAAGGCCUCCAGCCAGAAGGAAUCAUGCCGGACGCCAACCACGAACACAAAAUGCUUUCGGAUCGUCUAACACGCAAGAGAAUUCUGUGUGGCCCCCCGGCCACCCAACAGCUUCGUGGCUGGGUGCUGUUUUCCCCACGACGCCUUCCAGCUUUCGGUCCCUGUGAGCUGUGAGACCAGCAGCCAUGGAGCGGGCAAGACCCAGGAGGAAGGAGACACGGGCUGCAGGGAGCCUCCUCUUCCGGCCUGCAGGUCAUUGGGAACAUGUUGCCUGGGGGUUCGGGACCACCACGCACCGAGGCCCCACGGCAGCCAGACCUGCCGCCCCGCCCCGACUGCCGUUGUUACGUCUCACGGGCCAUCGCACGGGAGACACGUGGCACUGAAGCUGUUACCAAAUAUUCGACAGCUAAAUUUGCACUGGAGUGAUCUGCCUGCUUUUCUGUAAACACGUCACAGGGGAAGAGGAGUGAUUCCCGCCCCCCUGUGCCGCAGGCAGACUCAGCGGCCUCGUGGGGCCCCGUGGCGCCCCACGCGAAAGGGGGAAGCCCCAAAUCAGUUAGAACUUAGUGACGGGAAGAGGUCGUCCCUUCCCACCCACAUCCACAGGCCCAGGCGUGUCCAGGAGAGAGUCCCCUCCUCCGCCGUCCCCCCUCCAGGCCCCUGUCUUUCCGCGUGCCCACUGAGGUCCUGGACCAGCUCCUUGGAAGUACCUGCUCCGGGUGGCCCUCCGGCCUCGCCCUUGGCCUCCAGCCAGCUGGGCCCGUGCUGGCCCGACACUCCCAUGGUCCUCCUGUCCGCACCUCUGCUCGCACCCAGCAGACCCGGCCCACCCCAGGCAGUCCCCUCCAGCUGCUCUGCACCCCCCCCCGCCCCCCUGUAACUCAUCCCACUCCUGAGCCUGGCCCCCCACUCCCCGCGGACUCUUGUCCGACCCAGACCCGUGGGGCGGGCCGCAGCCCCACCUGCUGGAGCUGGGAGCCCGGCCCCCCCGGGCAGGGGGGCUGCU